AUAUUUCCAGUUUAGCCGGAGUCUGUAAUAAAGCAGUUAUAUUGGGUAAAGCGAAUGAUUAGAGGAAUUGUGGGAUGAAACAUUUUCAAUCUGUCCUCAAAUUUUCAAUGAUUAUGACGUCUCGCAUUUUUGAAUGAAGCGUAGACAUUGAAUGUGUGCUCCAAAUAGGUCAUUUUUAGGAAGCAGAACUGGCAGGCUAUGGGAUAAACCG
Molecule: non-coding RNA, 211 nt
Filed under: Onchocerca ochengi
Lineage: Eukaryota; Metazoa; Nematoda; Chromadorea; Rhabditida; Onchocercidae
Description: Eukaryotic large subunit ribosomal RNA
Rfam family: Eukaryotic large subunit ribosomal RNA
Source: Rfam by way of RNAcentral